Megalobrama amblycephala (Wuchang bream) is the source of this 808-nucleotide long non-coding RNA. RefSeq lists it as uncharacterized. NCBI's taxonomy places the organism in Eukaryota, Metazoa, Chordata, Actinopteri, Cypriniformes, Xenocyprididae. The record is from RefSeq and is a predicted model, not a curated record. The transcript has 3 exons.
UCAUCGUGUGGAGUAUCUCGCGUGGAUACAGUCGGUUAUGGCUCAAGUGACGUAAACAGGUAGACCAGCGGAUGGACCACAGCCAGGUAGCGCUCCACACAGAAAACGGUUUGAAAGAGUGGUCGACCCACAAUUAACGUACAACACAGCCACAGAAUCCAGCAGUUCACAGGCAGAAUGAAAACGACAUUCAGAAAUGAGGAGAAACCAAUGAGAAUCAUUCCUGGAAAGAAGUCUGCGCAUUCAAAAAAUGGAUCACCAGAAGAGUGGUUUGCAAACUGAGAGGUGCCAUUGGAUAGAAAGUCAUUGGUGUUGUUGACUGCCAUAUUUUCCUUUCUUUUCUGUAUGGAACAACGGUAAAAUACUGUAGUUUGUUGCAACAGAAAGCACAAGACAAGAAAGGUGAACAUGAGUUUUAGGUACAUUGUGCACUGAUAUAUGGUAACACUGUAGUAAAUGAUGCGUUUAUACCAAAUAACUACAUCAAAUAUAUUUUAUUUAUUAUAAAGUAUACUUCUCCAAAACUUCCCAACGUUAUUGAACACAUUUGAUUUUUCAAAGGGAAAAGAAAUUGACUAUCAUAUACUCACACAUGAAGAGUUGCACACAUAUCCAUGAAGCCUGUGUUGUGAGGAUUUUGCAUGUAUACCAUGUAUUUUAACAAGAUAGCACCUCCCUUUGUCAACAGAGAGAUUCAAUUGAGAUGACUACAGUAUGCAGAUAGGAGUGAGUAUAUUUAUAAAUAUAUACACAAGCAGAUGCUGUUAUCACAAAUUCCAGCAACAUUUAUUUUGUAACUUAAGGCAGG